Long non-coding RNA from Cervus hanglu yarkandensis (Yarkand deer), 2635 nucleotides. NCBI's taxonomy places the organism in Eukaryota, Metazoa, Chordata, Mammalia, Artiodactyla, Cervidae. The record is from Ensembl.
AUGAAGGGCUUUGCCGAUCUCCGACACUGGAUAUCCCCCCGCACCCUGCUGCCAGGAGCUAGGGGAGAGAGUGCUCUGGGGCAUGAGUCAGGGCCAGGAAUGCCAGGCACAGCCCGGGAAGGAGCCAAAGAAGAUGACUCUGGUAUAAACCCUGGCCACUUGGGGUGGAAAAUAAAUCAGAGAGAAGGUUGUGGUAGGGAGUGUGCACUCACCCCCACCCCCCAUCUGCUGCUCCACAUGAGGCACCUUCCCUGUGCAAGCCUGGCAGCAGCUGCCCUGCUCUUUCUUGGGGGGCAGGCCAGGCAGAGAAAGAAAAUCGAACCGACAUCUUCAGUCUUGAGUUUCACACAGCUCUCAGUCUGCAGGGAAUAAAGAAGAAGAAAGAAGCAAUUUUAGCUCUGCAGGGGAGCAUUUCAAAAGGGGAGUGUGAGGGGAUUGGGCUCAAUUAUUAAUAAUACACGUAUUUCUCUCAAUUUCCUUAAAAUUUGGAGGUCUGGUUUUAGGAAGUUACUAAAACUUGAAAAACUGCAGGCAUUGCAUAGAUAUUUGACGAACAGUUAUAACACACUAUAUGUACUCAUCACAUUUAGAAGAAUUAUAAAGGCAAGAGUGAUGCAGUAAGCAGAGCCCUGGUCUUGGGGAGAGAAGAGCUGGGUGUGCGUUCUGGCCUACUUGCUGUGUGACACAGGGUAUGUCAUUAGACCACUCUGAGCCUCAGUUUAUUCAUCUAUAAAAUGGGGAUGAGGACAGCUCCCAAGGCAAUGGAAAGAAUACAUACAACUGUACUGAAGACAACUGUAAAAUGAUGAACAAAUGGGACAUUGUUUAUCUGGGAAUUUAAAAGCCAGAAUCUUCCAAGCAACAAAAUGCUGAAUAUAGCAAAAUCUAGUUCAGGUUUAACAGACUGACAUUUGAGUUCUUCCUGUGUAAGAACCAUAGUAGACCUAUUUAAUUUAAUUCUCAUAAAUAACCUGUGAGAUAAUGCUCUUAUCAUAUCUGUUUUACAGAUGAUAAGCCCAAGGCACAAAGAAGUGAGGUAACUCAUCCCAUAUCCCCCAAACUAGCAAGUGUCAAAGGCUGAACACACACUUGGGUGACUUGAGCUUAGAGCACAUCCUGUUUUUUGGUAGACUCACUGCAUGCAUUCCUGUGCAUGAUCUCAUCUACAAUUCACAACAAUUCUAGGAGGACUGUAUUAUCACUUCCAUUUAGUAGACAAGGAAAGUAAGGCACAGAGAGAAUAAGUGACUUUGUCAAGGCCAAAAAGUUUAAAAGUUUGAGUCAGGAUUUAAAUCAGGCAGUUUGACCUCAGGGUCUAUACUCUUAACCACCACUCUAGUGGAAUGGUUCUAAAAUUAUUUUUAAAAUAAUCAUUCAUUUUCAAAAUCAUACUAUCAGGGUGCCUGAAGAAAGAGUCACUAUGGCCCAGAAUACAGGUCAAUGAGAUAACCCACUGGGCUGUGAACUCCCCAGAUGAUGACCACUGGUAUGUCACAGGGGGCGCCCUGAGCAAUUUAGGCAGGGCAGAGCCAACCGUGAUGGAAAUCACAGUGACAUCAUGGAGGUGGCAUUAGUAACACACCAGCUCUGACCGAGGUGGGUCCAUCACAUGCUUUGGUGGUGAACAUCUGUUUUAUUGCACUAAACUGCACUUGUGCACAUACCAAUCCCCUUCUAAAUCCACAAAACGGAAAAAGAAACCAAAGAGAAACCUCCAGAGGACCGGUGGAGCCUAGACCAAGUCUUCUGUAAAUUGUUGUACUCUUUGGAAAUAAUAUGUUUAAACGUCAGUAGCUCCAGUAAUCUGGAAUAUGCUCUAUCCGGUCUUGAAAUCCUCCGUCCAGCCACGGCACCCAACGACAGUCGGUUCUUUCACCCACGGGGGGCAGCGCGAGCGCAGAUCUUGGUCUGGUCAGGACGCUCCGGGCUGCGGAGCUCAGGAGACAGAAAACUGGAAGAGGAGGGAGGAGUUAGAUACAGAAAUAAGACCCAUGAAUUCUGACUUCGGAUAAAACAUGUCAUUCGUUUAAACCCCUCCCGUCUGGCUGAACCUGAAACUCCCGGCGAGCAGGCCUUGUGGGCCCAGGAGACGUGCGGUGCCGGGCGGGUCCAGGGACGGCAGGCGCAGCAUCCUUUGCCCGGCCCACAAGGAAGCCUUUGCCGAAGUCGCGGUGGGUACGGGCGCUGAGCAAUAUCCUGCGUGGAUAUCAGUCCCUCCGCGGCCAAACUGCGGCGCCAGGGCCGGCCGUUCCCAUUUCGUAAGACCGGACAGAAACGCAUCCUCGGCUACCCGGACCAGGGCGGGCCCGCCGCCCCCUCACGUGCUCCCCGCCCGGGGCACAGGCGCGGCCCCGCGCGGCUCGUCUGAGGGCUGGGCGCCGGCGGGCUCGGCCCACUCACUGCAGGCGCCCGCAGAGCGGAGGACGCGCCCCGGGCUCAGUCGUCUCGGGACGGGAGGCUUUUCCCUUUACCAAGUUAUUUUUCCCUUUUCCCAGUUAUUUUGUUCCCAAUUUUCCUGGCAGGGACUCAUCCUCAGUCUCUAUGUUCUCUUUCCUCCUCUCAGAUGAAUGCUGAUCACAUCCAAACCAAGAGAUUGGAGACUAAAUGUGGCCUUCCUCAGGAAGGAAAGAACUGG